This 393-nucleotide unclassified non-coding RNA is filed under the name Xanthomyrtus papuana. RNAcentral describes it as "partial external transcribed spacer". The record is from RNAcentral. Lineage: Eukaryota; Viridiplantae; Streptophyta; Magnoliopsida; Myrtales; Myrtaceae. RNAcentral also lists the same sequence under 2 other names.
CCUCACUUUCGAUCAAUUGUUGCUCCAUGAGUUAACGUUGGAUGCAAAAAGUGGGUUCCUGUGUUGCAUACCUAUUGCGAUGGAAAUUCGUCCAUUUCGUUGUCCCUUUCAUCAUGACAUCCUUUUGGAUGCGUCGGUUGGACUAGAUGGUAGGGCUUGUGUUCCAUGAGCAUCUCAUACGAUUUGUUCAGACGGACCACGAGUGCUUACUUGUUCUCUCGGAUGCGGAACUUUCCUCUUGGGUAUGGGGUCAAUGGCCCUUGUUCCCAAAUCUUUAAGCGUUUGUCGCUUUACUGGAAUGACGCUCUUGCCUUGUCUUUGACCACGUGGAGCUCCCGGGCUUCAUGAUGGAUCAAUGCUUGGCGGACGUCGUGAAGGAAUGCUACCUGGUUG